This 391-nucleotide ribosomal RNA is filed under the name uncultured bacterium. Its description in RNAcentral is "partial 16S ribosomal RNA". It matches the Rfam family "Bacterial small subunit ribosomal RNA", at positions 523 to 917 of the family's 1533-position model. The record is from RNAcentral.
AUACGGAGGAUCCGAGCGUUAUCCGGAUUUAUUGGGUUUAAAGGGUGCGCAGGCGGCCAUUUAAGUCAGCGGUUAAAUCGUGGGGCUCAACCCCAUUCUGCCGUUGAUACUGGGUGGCUUGAUUGCGGUCGAGGUUGGCGGAAUUCGUUGUGUAGCGGUGAAAUGCAUAGAUAUGACGAAGAACACCGAUUGCGUAGGCAGCUGACCAGACCGCAAAUGACGCUCAUGCACGAAAGUGCGGGGAUCGAACAGGAUUAGAUACCCUGGUAGUCUGCACAGUAAACGAUGAAUACUUGUUUUCGGCGAUAUAAUGUCGGAGGCGAAGCGAAAGCGAUAAGUAUUCCACCUGGGGAGUACGCCGGCAACGGUGAAACUCAAAUGAAUUGACGGG